GUGCUCGCUUCGGCAGCACAUGUACUAAAACUGGAAUGAUACAGAGAUGAGCGUGGUCCCUGCACAAGGAUGACAUGCACAUUCAUGAAGUGUUCUAUAUCUAA
Molecule: small nuclear RNA, 104 nt
Organism: Camelus dromedarius (Arabian camel)
Lineage: Eukaryota; Metazoa; Chordata; Mammalia; Artiodactyla; Camelidae
Source: Ensembl